AGUUAUUCGGAUACGCACAGGUAUCCUGCAUACCCACAACACGGAGCCGCGCGCACACACACAGCGAGCGCGUUGCGUUGACUUAUUAGUGCUACAAAGGCUCGCCAAACUCCUAGAAUGCUGUCAAACUUCUCCUGUCGCGUGCUGCUCACGCUCCCAGCGGCGUUGCCUCCCCUGAGCUUUACUCGUCGCAGUGAUGUCGUUGCCACGGCUGCUCUCCGGACCGGAAGCAGGAUGGGUUUGAGCUGCGCGCUGACGAGCGGGCUCUCGCCUCGUUGCUUUUCGAACACGCCUGCUCGACUCAGCUGUGGCGCUGGUAUUCUGCAUCGUUCUAAGCUGUGCCUCAGCGGUUUUGGGGAGCCUGCGCAAGGCAGGCCGCACAGUACGAACCACGGCGCUGUGCGUCUGCACGGCACCGUGACCGCCUUCAAGCACCGCCGUGGCUACGGCUUUGUGCUGGCGGAGGGGAUCGCCGCAUCUGCGCCCCCUCUCAAGCAUACGUACGUCGCUCUAGAUACUCAUGCUGCGGCUGCUAGAAACGAUGGCGUCCCGCCGGCGCGAGAGGAGCCGUGCAACGAACUGCACAAGUCCUUCUUUUUUACUCGCAGCGCACUGAUGGGCGGCUUUUACGUGACGGAGGGAGAGCGGGUCUCGUUCGCGGUAGUUCCGGUGCCCCCGAGGAAAGGAAUCAAUCGCCGAGUAGCGGGAGACUCGCCGAGCAGCUGUAAAGACGACGGUGACCACGCUGCCUUAGCCGCCGCCGAGACGGCAGAGUUCUCGCUGGGCAGUCCAGAAGGAGGGUUGGAGGAAGACAGCAGCGCAGUCACGAGCGAUACCCAAUCCCAGCCGCAUCGCAUCGCCGUCAGCUUAAGAUACUACGACGACAAAACAGGAAAGGAAAAACCGAUAUCCCCGCUGACGCUCUACGGGAAAAUUGUAGAGUGGGAUGCAGCGGCGGGUGUCGGCGUGAUUGCGGAGCUGGACACGCGUCGGCAGUAUCACGAAGAUGCACCGCGCUUUCCCUUUUCGUUGGAGAACGUGGAUCUCGCCCUUGGCACCGAGUUGCGCUCCGGCCGCUACGUACGCUUCUGCCUGGAGCCUGCCACUCCCGCGCACAGUGGCGGCGGCGAAGACACCGCCGCCGCGGCGACCCCCACAAGUGGCGCAGAGGCCGCUGCUGAUGUCGACGAGGAUGUGGAGCUCGUGGCGCAGCGCGUCAUCAUUGAUUCCACGAUGGAGCGUCGAAAGGGCGCCUUUGGCCGCCCGCUCGUUUUGGCUGACGCAGCACCGGGUACGAUGACGAGCGAGUCCCGGUUCUCUGGCGUGGUACGGGAGGUGAAGGUAGAUCACUUCGGCUUCAUCCAGGAUGACCUCAGCGGCGAGUCCAUCUUCUUCCACUUUUCAAACACGUCUUCGAAGGUGAAGGCGGGCGACCGGGUCACGUAUCUGCUUCGCGAGGUGGAGUAUGGCAAGCACGCCGGCAAGAAGGCGUGCUACGACGUCCUCAUUGAUCAGACGUCGACGAGCCGUGCACCCGGCGCAGCCAGCGAUCGCGGGGCGUCUGCGGGUGCCGGAGAUGCGGGUGAGCAUCAUCGGAAACACGCGGCAGAACGCCGAUCCAAGACGGCACGCGAUGAAGACGACUUGGACUUCGAACUCCUGUAGUAGCGUAUGACCGCGCCCACCACCACUUCUGGCUCUCCUUUGUGUGAGUGUGGGUGCUUAAAUAAAUCUGCUUCUUGUGUAUGUCUGCGUGCGCCUUCACGUGCUGCUGUGGUCCUCGUCUGUGCGUCGUGCGUGCCUCCCUCUCUCUCCGUGCCUCUGCGUGCACGUCCGUGAGAAGGCGCUUCUCCUCCCUUUUCUACACAGACUUGGACGCGCCUCGUGCUUGAUGCCUCAGCCUUUUCUUUCUCCCAACUUGCGAGACAGCGACGCAGCGGCAAGGGCGCCGGCGGACAUUGUGGGCGACUAAUGAAGAGUAACCGUAGCAGCAGCUGACGUGGCGCCACUUGUGUAGAGGGCGAACACCACAAAAAAAGUACCAAACAUAUACGCAAGCCCAGACGACGCACAAGGGUUUUCCUGGCGUUGCGUUUCUCCUCUCAACUCUCCAUCGUUUAACGGUAACCCAGAGAAAAGGCAAUGGGGUGCGGACACGCGCACACACAUGCAUCGACUGGCCAUUCACUUACGGCACGCAAGCAGAAGAAGCCGAAGGGAUGGCUCAUCACUGUAAUUGAUUCACCGCGGACGUGGCGGUGCGUGCCAUGGUGUGGUGGCAGGUGUGUAUCGUAUUCUGUUUUACUUUCAGGCAGAGAGCGGAGGCGAGAAGGAUGCGAUGGGAGCCUGUGGCUACUGCGCUGUGCCGCACCUUCUCCCCACCAUUCUCUCUCUUCCGGUCGAUGUGGCUGUCGGAGGGGGGGGCUCAUCUGCUGUGCCAACUGGGCAGUCUUUUCG
This 2457-nucleotide unclassified non-coding RNA is filed under the name Leishmania donovani. Its description in RNAcentral is "gene:LdHU3.14.1550(CDS-product:'Cold-shock'_DNA-b inding_domain_containing_protein-_putative)". Lineage: Eukaryota; Euglenozoa; Kinetoplastea; Trypanosomatida; Trypanosomatidae. The record is from RNAcentral.